RNAcentral lists this ribosomal RNA (1385 nucleotides) under uncultured bacterium. Its description in RNAcentral is "bacterial SSU rRNA". It matches the Rfam family "Bacterial small subunit ribosomal RNA", at positions 28 to 1381 of the family's 1533-position model. The record is from RNAcentral.
GACGAACGCUGGCGGCGUGCCUAAUACAUGCAAGUCGAGCGAGCGGAACUAACAGAUUUACUUCGGUAAUGACGUUAGGAAAGCGAGCGGCGGAUGGGUGAGUAACACGUGGGGAACCUGCCCCAUAGUCUGGGAUACCACUUGGAAACAGGUGCUAAUACCGGAUAAGAAAGCAGAUCGCAUGAUCAGCUUUUAAAAGGCGGCGUAAGCUGUCGCUAUGGGAUGGCCCCGCGGUGCAUUAGCUAGUUGGUAAGGUAAAGGCUUACCAAGGCGAUGAUGCAUAGCCGAGUUGAGAGACUGAUCGGCCACAUUGGGACUGAGACACGGCCCAAACUCCUACGGGAGGCAGCAGUAGGGAAUCUUCCACAAUGGACGCAAGUCUGAUGGAGCAACGCCGCGUGAGUGAAGAAGGUUUUCGGAUCGUAAAGCUCUGUUGUUGGUGAAGAAGGAUAGAGGUAGUAACUGGCCUUUAUUUGACGGUAAUCAACCAGAAAGUCACGGCUAACUACGUGCCAGCAGCCGCGGUAAUACGUAGGUGGCAAGCGUUGUCCGGAUUUAUUGGGCGUAAAGCGAGCGCAGGCGGAAGAAUAAGUCUGAUGUGAAAGCCCUCGGCUUAACCGAGGAACUGCAUCGGAAACUGUUUUUCUUGAGUGCAGAAGAGGAGAGUGGAACUCCAUGUGUAGCGGUGGAAUGCGUAGAUAUAUGGAAGAACACCAGUGGCGAAGGCGGCUCUCUGGUCUGCAACUGACGCUGAGGCUCGAAAGCAUGGGUAGCGAACAGGAUUAGAUACCCUGGUAGUCCAUGCCGUAAACGAUGAGUGCUAGGUGUUGGGAGGUUUCCGCCUCUCAGUGCUGCAGCUAACGCAUUAAGCACUCCGCCUGGGGAGUACGACCGCAAGGUUGAAACUCAAAGGAAUUGACGGGGGCCCGCACAAGCGGUGGAGCAUGUGGUUUAAUUCGAAGCAACGCGAAGAACCUUACCAGGUCUUGACAUCUAGUGCCAUUUGUAGAGAUACAAAGUUCCCUUCGGGGACGCUAAGACAGGUGGUGCAUGGCUGUCGUCAGCUCGUGUCGUGAGAUGUUGGGUUAAGUCCCGCAACGAGCGCAACCCUUGUUAUUAGUUGCCAGCAUUAAGUUGGGCACUCUAAUGAGACUGCCGGUGACAAACCGGAGGAAGGCGGGGAUGACGUCAAGCCAUCAUGCCCCUUAUGACCUGGGCUACACACGUGCUACAAUGGGCAGUACAACGAGAAGCGAGCCUGCGAAGGCAAGCGAAUCUCUGAAAGCUGUUUUCAGUUCGGACUGCAGUCUGCAACUCGACUGCACGAAGCUGGAAUCGCUAGUAAUCGCGGAUCAGCACGCCGCGGUGAAUACGUUCCCGGGCCU